Saccostrea cuccullata (small rock oyster) is the source of this 296-nucleotide long non-coding RNA. RefSeq lists it as uncharacterized. The record is from RefSeq and is a predicted model, not a curated record. The transcript has 3 exons. Lineage: Eukaryota; Metazoa; Mollusca; Bivalvia; Ostreida; Ostreidae.
GUUGUGACCCCGGCUGGCGUUAUUAUUCAGACCACUGCUAUUUAGUCAGUCAGGAACAAACGUCUUGGCAUGAAGCUAAGUUUCAAUGUGAAAGUAAUGGAGCGUUCCUGGCUGAUAUCAACUCUGCCGAGGAGAACACAUGGAUUACAGACAAACUCAUUGAUAACCAAACCUGGUCAGUUAUUACUCACCACGUAUGGAUUGGUGCAAAUGAUAUUGACAAAGAGGGCGUCUUCAUCUGGAGUGAGAUGAAUUCUACUCUGAAUUUUUCGAAUUGGAAUCAGGAAGAACCAAAU